Molecule: long non-coding RNA, 331 nt
Filed under: Medicago truncatula (barrel medic)
Lineage: Eukaryota; Viridiplantae; Streptophyta; Magnoliopsida; Fabales; Fabaceae
Description: long non-coding RNA (MTRU_LNC007473)
Source: RNAcentral
GGAGGUUAUAUGAUAUUUUUACAAAAAAUGUUGCAUCAAAAGAGAAGAACGAGAGUAUCUUCUCCAUUAUCACACCUUAUUAGGUCUAAUUGGCAGGAAAAAACAUGGAAUACAGGUUCAUAUUAACUUGGUUCAAGAUAAAGGGGAGAGUAUAAUCGAGAGACAAACAAAAUGAGAGGAGUAUUAGAAUAUGACCGAUUAAUUUAAGAAGUUUGAUAUGAGAAAUUGAAGGGAAUUAAUUUAAGACUAUAGGAUAUGAGUGAAUUGAUUUUCCCUAAUAUGUUUUGUAUCGUGAGUUCACCUUUUAACCCUUUUUCUUUACUUUAACAUG